GACGAACGCUGGCGGCGUGCCUAAUACAUGCAAGUCGAACGCUUCUUUCCUCCCGAGUGCUUGCACUCCAUUGGAAAGAGGAGUGGCGGACGGGUGAGUAACACGUGGGUAACCUACCCAUCAGAGGGGGAUGACACUUGGAAACAGGUGCUAAUACCGCAUAACAGUUUAUGCCGCAUGGCAUAAGAGUGAAAGGCGCUUUCGGGUGUCGCUGAUGGAUGGACCCGCGGUGCAUUAGCUAGUUGGUGAGGUAACGGCUCACCAAGGCCACGAUGCAUAGCCGACCUGAGAGGGUGAUCGGCCACACUGGGACUGAGACACGGCCCAGACUCCUACGGGAGGCAGCAGUAGGGAAUCUUCGGCAAUGGACGAAAGUCUGACCGAGCAACGCCGCGUGAGUGAAGAAGGUUUUCGGAUCGUAAAACUCUGUUGUUAGAGAAGAACAAGGACGUUAGUAACCGAACGUCCCCUGACGGUAUCUAACCAGAAAGCCACGGCUAACUACGUG
RNAcentral lists this ribosomal RNA (508 nucleotides) under uncultured bacterium. RNAcentral describes it as "partial 16S ribosomal RNA". It matches the Rfam family "Bacterial small subunit ribosomal RNA", at positions 28 to 507 of the family's 1533-position model. The record is from RNAcentral.